AAGAAACAAAGUAUUCAAACAAAGCGGCAAAUGAAGAUACUUGAUCAACACGCGACGAUUUGAAUUCUAUCUUUUCGAAAUUGAAACAAUAACAGAUCAGAUUCAACGGAUGAUGAAAUGAGAUAAUCGAAUCCUGAUCUAUGAAUCUAACAACAGAUCGAGUCACACAAUCACAAGAAACUUUCGGAUCAAGUAAAACGAUAACGUAAUCGACAAGAAUGUGAAAAGGUUUUUGUUCAAAACUUGAUCGAAAUUCUUAGAUCUAUCAAUAUGAGAUACGAAACAAUCAGAUCUAGCAAUCCUGAUAGUGAAACAAGCAGAUCAAAUGAGAAUAAACACACAAGAACCGAUUGAUCAACAAAAUAUGAAUCGACAAAGAGUAGAUCUUAAGAAAUCGCAAAAGAGAAAUCGAAACUCCCCUUCCAGAGUGCUCUG
Molecule: long non-coding RNA, 435 nt
Filed under: Brassica napus (rape)
Lineage: Eukaryota; Viridiplantae; Streptophyta; Magnoliopsida; Brassicales; Brassicaceae
Description: long non-coding RNA (BNAP_LNC004403)
Source: RNAcentral